This 793-nucleotide ribosomal RNA is filed under the name Prymnesium sp. IOAC727S. Its description in RNAcentral is "eukaryotic LSU rRNA". The stretch from base 297 to 451 matches the Rfam family "5.8S ribosomal RNA". The record is from RNAcentral. Lineage: Eukaryota; Haptophyta; Prymnesiales; Prymnesiaceae.
GAAGUCGUAACAAGGUUUCCGUAGGUGAACCUGCGGAAGGAUCAUUACCGGUCUUUCCACCCACACCAGUGCGUACCUCUCGUCCCUUUGGGUCCGUCGGUGCUCGCAUCGGCAGACCCAUCUGUGCUCUUGUUCGAGCUGGCGCGCCCCGCGCGGCAGAUCGGGCGGGACGCAGGCACUGUGCCUCGAACACAGCCACAUCUCCUCAUCGGCCUCUCCCGGUCGAGGAGGAUCCCCUCGACGUGCUCCAUCGCGCCUCGAGCGCGGGGGAGCACGCAAGAAUUGUUGAAACACACAACUCUUGUCGAUGGAUAUCUUGGCUCUCGCAACGAUGAAGAACGCAGCGAAAUGCGAUACGUAAUGCGAAUUGCAGAAUUCAGUGAAUCAUCGAACUUUUGAACGCAACUGGCGCUUCCAGGUUCCGCCUGGGAGCAUGUUUCUUCGAGUGGCGCCUCCACCCGCCUGGGCGUGCGCCUCGCGCGCACAUCCGAUCGUGUCUGCCGCGGCGUGAGCUGCGCCAGAUCAAGGUUCGAGCGUCGCCUGAGGGCAGCGUUGCACGGGAGGAUCGCCGGAUCUGCCCGUGUGCCGACGUGCUAGUAGGUCGCCUACCAAGUCGUUGUGCCAUCGAACGCUGUGAUCUCAACCGACGCGGGGACGCGAGGACAUAUAUAUCGCGGCUCCGCCCACCGGUGCGCCUCGCGCGCACCAUUGGACACCUCCGCCAUCGAAUGAAGCAAGACUACCCACUGAACUUAAGCAUAUCACUAAGCGGAGGAAAAGAAACUAACCAGGA